Picea glauca (white spruce) is the source of this 119-nucleotide non-coding RNA. Lineage: Eukaryota; Viridiplantae; Streptophyta; Pinopsida; Pinales; Pinaceae. The record is from Rfam.
GGGUGCGAUCAUACCAGCAUUAAUGCACCUAAUCCUAUCAGAACUCCCCAGUUAAGUACGCUUGGGCUAGAGUAGUACUGGGAUGGGUGACCUCCCGAGAAGUCCUAGUGUUGCACCCU